Molecule: ribosomal RNA, 547 nt
Filed under: uncultured bacterium
Lineage: Bacteria
Description: bacterial SSU rRNA
Rfam family: Bacterial small subunit ribosomal RNA
Source: RNAcentral
UGGGGAAUAUUGCGCAAUGGGGGGAACCCUGACGCAGCCAUGCCGCGUGAAUGAAGAAGGCCUUAGGGUUGUAAAGUUCUUUCGGUAUUGAGGAAGGUUGAUGUGUUAAUAGCACAUCAAAUUGACGUUAAAUACAGAAGAAGCACCGGCUAACUCCGUGCCAGCAGCCGCGGUAAUACGGAGGGUGCGAGCGUUAAUCGGAAUAACUGGGCGUAAAGGGCACGCAGGCGGUUAUUUAAGUGAGGUGUGAAAGCCCUGGGCUUAACCUAGGAAUUGCAUUUCAGACUGGGUAACUAGAGUACUUUAGGGAGGGGUAGAAUUCCACGUGUAGCGGUGAAAUGCGUAGAGAUGUGGAGGAAUACCGAAGGCGAAGGCAGCCCCUUGGGAAUGUACUGACGCUCAUGUGCGAAAGCGUGGGGAGCAAACAGGAUUAGAUACCCUGGUAGUCCACGCUGUAAACGCUGUCGAUUUGGGGGUUGGGGUUUAACUCUGGCGCCCGUAGCUAACGUGAUAAAUCGACCGCCUGGGGAGUACGGCCACAAGGUUA